UACGUAGGGGCCUAGCGUUGUCCGGAAUCAUUGGGCGUAAAGAGCUCGUAGGCGGUUCGGCAAGUCACGUGUGAAAUCUCCACGCUUAACGUGGAGGCGCCACGUGAAACUGCCGUGACUCGAGUCCGGUAGGGGAGUGUGGAAUUCCCGGUGUAGCGGUGAAAUGCGCAGAUAUCAGGAGGAACAUCGGUGGCGAAGGCGGGAUCCUGGGCCAGUACUGACGCUGAGGAGCGAAAGCGUGGGGAGCAAACAGG
RNAcentral lists this ribosomal RNA (254 nucleotides) under uncultured bacterium. RNAcentral's name for it is "partial 16S ribosomal RNA". It matches the Rfam family "Bacterial small subunit ribosomal RNA", at positions 524 to 776 of the family's 1533-position model. The record is from RNAcentral.